AAUAGAUACCCGGGUAGUCCACGCCGUAAACGGUGGGUACUAGGUGUGGGUUUCCUUCCGUUGGGAUCCGUGCCGUAGCUAACGCAUUAAGUACCCCGCCUGGGGAGUACGGCCGCAAGGCUAAAACUCAAAAGGAAUUGACGGGGGCCCGCACAAGCGGCGGAGCAUGUGGAUUAAUUCGAUGCAACGCGAAGAACCUUACCUGGGUUUGACAUGCACAGGACGCCGGCAGAGAUGUCGGUUCCCUUGUGGCCUGUGUGCAGGUGGUGCAUGGCUGUCGUCAGCUCGUGUCGUGAGAUGUUGGGUUAAGUCCCGCAACGAGCGCAACCCUUGUCCUAUGUUGCCAGCGGGUUAUGCCGGGGACUCGUAGGAGACUGCCGGGGUCAACUCGGAGGAAGGUGGGGAUGACGUCAAGUCAUCAUGCCCCUUAUGUCCAGGGCUUCACACAUGCUACAAUGGCCGGUACAAAGGGCUGCGAUGCCGUGAGGUGGAGCGAAUCCUUGGUAAAGCCGGUCUCAGUUCGGAUCGGGGUCUGCAACUCGACCCCG
RNAcentral lists this ribosomal RNA (548 nucleotides) under uncultured bacterium. RNAcentral describes it as "bacterial SSU rRNA". It matches the Rfam family "Bacterial small subunit ribosomal RNA", at positions 777 to 1320 of the family's 1533-position model. The record is from RNAcentral.